GAUGAAGGCUCAUUGGUAGAGCACAUGCAUAGCAUGCUUGAGGUCCUGGGUUCAAUCCCCAGCACUG
This 67-nucleotide transfer RNA is filed under the name Marmota monax (woodchuck). Its description in RNAcentral is "tRNA.Ala". The stretch from base 7 to 62 matches the Rfam family "tRNA", at positions 9 to 63 of the family's 71-position model. Rfam says of the family: Transfer RNA (tRNA) molecules are approximately 80 nucleotides in length. The record is from RNAcentral. Lineage: Eukaryota; Metazoa; Chordata; Mammalia; Rodentia; Sciuridae.